Molecule: small nuclear RNA, 278 nt
Filed under: Tannerella forsythia KS16
Lineage: Bacteria; Pseudomonadati; Bacteroidota; Bacteroidia; Bacteroidales; Tannerellaceae
Source: RNAcentral
UUUAAUUUCUUGUAUGUUCAUAUUAGAGUGAAGUUGAAUGAUUUGAAAAAUUGCUGAUUUGAUGAAAAUGCACAUAACCAUUUCAUAACAAAUAAAUUACUUGCUCAUCAUGGUUUCAUCACAGGGCUUACCAAAAGAAAAAAUAUGUAUUUCUCUUUUGGCCAGUAUCAUCUUUUCCUUUCAUCAUUCUUUCAUACUGAUGAGUGGAAAGAUGAAUCAAAUAGGCAUUGACAAUCAAUCUGUUAUAUAUACUUUUCAUCAUUUCAUCAAAAUAAUGA